AUUUGACAGAGAUAGAAACAGCCAGCGAGAGAGGGAACACAAGCAGGGGGAGUGGGAGAGGAAGAAGCAGGCUCCUAGCGGAGGAGCCUGAUGUGGGGCUCGAUCCCGUAACGCCGGAAUCACGCCCUGAGCCGAAGGCAGACGCUUAACCGCUGUGCCACCCAGGCGCCCCACUAUUAUUGUUUCUAGGUGCACUCAAGCCACUUUUCUGCAACCGCUGAAUACCUAACAGCCAUGCGUUAACACCAUUUAUUUGGGGAGAAAUGUGUGCUAUGAGCACCAAAUGACUGGCUGCUUCCGGAAAAGUUAGAAGAGCUCCGCGGCUCCUCCUUCAGCCCGGUGGGGCGAAGGCACUGUGCGAAGCACCGGCACACUAGUGCUCAUCCAGCCUCACCAGUGUCACGUGAAGUCGGCGGGCUUCCCCUUUACCAGACGGAGCGACCAUCGACUAAUCGGCCCAAGGAGACUCAAACAGGAAGCGACGGUCAGGAGUCAUUGCUCUCUUGGCCAGCUGAUUAUAACGUUCAAGGAUCCCGCAACCAACAGAGAAGUGGAAAAGCUGACGAAGAAUUCACAGAUGGAGAAGGAAAAUCUGGGACCACUGAGUUGAUGGAGCCCCUUGAAGAAAUUUCUGGAAUUAUGGAAGUAGCUGGAAGAAUAAUGGCCAAGGCAACCAUUAUGUGUGCGUCUUAAGUCCAGUUUACAGAAGAGAACCAUCCUUUUGAUCUUGGACUUUACAAAGAAGCUGUGAAAAAUCACCCAUGGGUUCCCCCAGUUUUCCUUUGGGGAUUGUGCAAUAAUGACUGAUCUCGAUGCAUUUUUUAUGACUGCAAAUGAGCUACACUGAAGACUGUUAAAGGAGGCCCCUGAUAUUUGAGGGAGAGAUUUCUGUGAUUUUUAAUAUUUAAUUUGUUCUCUUUUUAAUUUCACUUACCUAACUUUAUUAGAGAUUGCAAGAACACACUUUUGAUGGAACCUGUAUAUUCACAGUUCUCACCUAAGUCCUCACUGAAAAUCACUUCUCUGGUAUAUGGUCAAGUAAGAUGCAAGAACAAAAGCAGGUGUGUUAAGUUUAGUUUUAUUUUAUUAAUAAAAGUUUAAAUGGUUAAAAAAAAAAAAAAGAA
RNAcentral lists this long non-coding RNA (1124 nucleotides) under Ursus maritimus (polar bear). RNAcentral describes it as "lncRNA (ENSUMAG00000009201.1)". Lineage: Eukaryota; Metazoa; Chordata; Mammalia; Carnivora; Ursidae. The record is from RNAcentral.